AUUUGAUGCCAAAACUGUUACAGAGAACCAUUUUGAGAACACUUCAAAUGAUCAAUCUCUGGGUGGUUUUAGCUCAUCCCGAACGACUGAGCCGGUUUCCCAAAAUGAUGCUGUACAGCCUCCAGGUGAGGAUGGUCCACUGAAGGGUCAAGCACUAGCAGAUACGACCGAACAUUCGGUAGAGCCAUCUCCUCUGACCGAAACUAAA
This 208-nucleotide unclassified non-coding RNA is filed under the name Hevea brasiliensis (rubber tree). Lineage: Eukaryota; Viridiplantae; Streptophyta; Magnoliopsida; Malpighiales; Euphorbiaceae. The record is from RNAcentral.